Molecule: long non-coding RNA, 910 nt
Organism: Theobroma umbraticum
Lineage: Eukaryota; Viridiplantae; Streptophyta; Magnoliopsida; Malvales; Malvaceae
Source: RefSeq, a predicted model, not a curated record
CAUGGAAUCUUGGACGGAAGGGUGAAUGAAGUUUAUGAAAGAAGAGAGGAUUCCAUGCUCUUGUAAGUGCUUUUAAACUGAUCAGUUCAGAGGAGCUGAACAUGUGAAACAUGACCAUUCAUGAAGCCAAAAGACUGAAAUCACAGUAACCAGAAGUCAACAACAGCUGAUUCCCAAUGAAGACAUACGAGUAAUUAGGAGCCGUUCCAAAUUAAGUUCUUGCUCGUAUACAUAUUUUGAGAGGAAAAGCUAAAGAUCAUGUAAGGGCCAAGCCUGCCUUCAUCGCUCAGGGAGAGAGCAGGCACUUAAAAGCUCCACCACGCACACAAGUUGCGCGUGGCAAAUAUCUUUCUUUAGGAUAUAAUAGUCUCCUCCUCGAGCUGGCCCAAAGCAGCCAGCGCAAAGACAAGAGUCACAAGACAGAUACAUCAGCCACCAAUGUCUCGCCACAGACGCCAAGCCUCUCGAGUCCUCCCACCAGAGUUAACAUUGGAAGGGGACGAACCGCCUCCCAAAUCCACUGACUCAACCCAAGCAAUUGCUAGUCCUUAUGGUCGUCACGGCUCUAAUGGUUCAACCACUGACAGGUCUGCAGCAAACCCAUCCGCAACUAUUCAUCAUCAUCAUCACCACCAAGACUCUUUCGGAAACCAUUCCCAGGGUCCUGAAAAGAAGCCUUCUGCGAGCACCAAACCUUCUUGAUAGCUGACAGCUGAAGCAGAACAAGUACUUAAUAUAUUUUUGUAGUUAUGUUAAAGCUGAUCCUCAUGUUUCUUCCCUGUUCCAGUUCCUUUUUUUUUUCUUUCUUUCUGUUUUCACUUGGUAAGGUGAAAAGCUUUUUAUUUGUUCCUGUAUGUUUAUGGGAAGUGGUGAUUAGCUAGAAAAGUCUGCCAUAGUUUUUAUUUUCCUC